This 85-nucleotide transfer RNA is filed under the name Eutreptia sp. CCAC 1914B. RNAcentral describes it as "tRNA-Ser". It matches the Rfam family "tRNA". Rfam says of the family: Transfer RNA (tRNA) molecules are approximately 80 nucleotides in length. Their secondary structure includes four short double-helical elements and three loops (D, anti-codon, and T loops). Further hydrogen bonds mediate the characteristic L-shaped molecular structure. tRNAs have two regions of fundamental functional importance: the anti-codon, which is responsible for specific mRNA codon recognition, and the 3' end, to which the tRNAs corresponding amino acid is attached (by aminoacyl-tRNA synthetases). tRNAs cope with the degeneracy of the genetic code in two manners: having more than one tRNA (with a specific anti-codon) for a particular amino acid; and 'wobble' base-pairing, i.e. permitting non-standard base-pairing at the 3rd anti-codon position. Lineage: Eukaryota; Euglenozoa; Euglenophyceae; Eutreptiales; Eutreptiaceae. The record is from RNAcentral.
GGAGAGGUGUCCGAGUGGUUUAUGGACCUGGUCUUGAAAACCAGUGUAGUUAAUACUACCGAGGGUUCGAAUCCCUCCUUCUCCA